This 932-nucleotide unclassified non-coding RNA is filed under the name Hevea brasiliensis (rubber tree). Lineage: Eukaryota; Viridiplantae; Streptophyta; Magnoliopsida; Malpighiales; Euphorbiaceae. The record is from RNAcentral.
GAUUUCUAUGGAUUUUGGUGAUAAAAUUUAAAGUUUAGGACGUUUGAUUAUUAUCAUUAUAAGUUUAGUAGAUAAAAUUUAAAAUUCUCAAAAUUAAUUUUGGGUUUUGGCUAUAAUUGCACCCAUGUGUAAGAUAGGGAUACUUAAUCCAAAAUUGAAACAUUUGAAUAAUAUCGUUCCCAAAUUAUUGCAGUAACUUUGUGGGACCCAUAAAAUAAGUAAAUAUUAUUAAAAAAUUCUAAACAUUUAAACUCAAAUUUAAUUAAAAAAAAAGACCAAAUUGAAAAAGAAAACCAAGAAAAUUUUCUAGAAAAUCCCAUCUUCGUGAACUCUGCAAAACCUAGGAGCCAUUUUUCUUGGUAAAUGAUAACUUCAUUGCAACAAGUGAUUGUAGCAGGAGCAAAAUAUAAACAUUCCUUCAAUUCAAAUCCUAAAUCAGCCAAAUAAUAUAUCUAACACAAUAAUAAGAAGGCUAGAAACAAAAGAACCCUAAUCUAUGCUCAGAUACUGAAGAAGGAGGUUGCUUUAUCAAACCUAAUCAAGGUGAGGAGGAAAAAGAAGCCUCCUUGAUUUGAUAACUUCUUGAGCCAUCUUCGAUGCCUAGAUUAGAUGUCAUUGAUUUUCCUCCUUCCAAAUUCAAGAUAUCCUUGAAGAACAACAGCUGUGGACAUCUUUAGCAUCUGAAGAUCUUGAUAGAUUUAGAUUCAAAUAGUAGAAAACCCACUAAGGGGUAUACAAAUUUCCAACUCUAGAGAAGAUAAAGAUUAUUCUAAGAUUAGACAAAGAUAACCUCAACCAAAGCAAAGCGAUAGUUAUCAAAGGCUCAAGGUGCACCAGGCGCCAAGGUGUCCUGGAGCCUAGGCGGUGUCCUGGAGCCUAGGUGUAAGGCACAGGCGCGCUCCUGAGGUGCAAAAAUAAAAAUAAAAAAUAAA